This is a small nuclear RNA of Cavia porcellus (domestic guinea pig), 108 nucleotides long. Lineage: Eukaryota; Metazoa; Chordata; Mammalia; Rodentia; Caviidae. The record is from Ensembl.
GUGCUCACUUUGGCAGCACAUAUACUAUUAAAAUUGGAAUAAUACAGAUAAGAUUAGUAUGACCAUUACAAGAAUAACAUGCAAAUUCAUUCAACACUCCAUGAUAUU